Molecule: long non-coding RNA, 760 nt
Organism: Medicago truncatula (barrel medic)
Lineage: Eukaryota; Viridiplantae; Streptophyta; Magnoliopsida; Fabales; Fabaceae
Exons: 2
Source: RefSeq, a predicted model, not a curated record
GAUCUAACUUUUUUAUGUUUAUAUCAUGCAAAGGAGGACAAAUAUGGCUCAAAUUCUCUUUUAUGUUUGUGCUUUUAUCAUCCUUUUUUCUCCAUUAAUUGCUCAACGUAUAGUGGUAACAGAUCCAAACUGUACUUUUGACACUGAUUGUGACCAUGAUGUAACAGCUAUUGCUACGCAUUGCGAUAAAGGGACCUGUGUGACGUAUUUCAGUGAUGACCCUGAGCCCUAAGUCUCUCUCUCUCUCUCUCUCUCUCCCCUCUCUCUGUGUGUGUGUGUGUGUCUUGCAUCUGCAACCAUCCAUAACCCUAAGUACUCAACUUCAUCUAUCACCAAAGGUAGUUGGUUUAGCCGUAAAUUUGAUCAGAAAUCACCCAUUUUAAUCAUUUUGUUUUCUUUUUUAUUUAAAUAUGUGAUCUUUUAAUAUAUUUAGUUAUUUUUGUGAUUUCUUCAUCUUAGUGUGAUGUUCGCCGUCUUGGUGUGGUUUUGUUUUGUUUUCUCGUCGUCUUGUUGUGGUGUUAGAUUACUUCAGAUUGUCAAAUCAAUUUCGAUCAAGUGCAGAUCCAAUCAAUGUCUAUUCCUGAGAUAUGGCUUCAGAUUAGCUUCGAUCAAGUACAUUUUCAUUACAAAUUCUGAGAUAUGGCUAUUCCAAACAACCGAAUAUAGUCAUAUUUGUAGGCUUAUGUAUUUUACCAUUUUAGGUUAUGAACAUGAAUGUUAUGAGUUUGUUCGCAAAUUUAUCAUUUUUGUUUUUAGUGAA